Molecule: ribosomal RNA, 253 nt
Filed under: uncultured bacterium
Lineage: Bacteria
Description: partial 16S ribosomal RNA
Rfam family: Bacterial small subunit ribosomal RNA
Source: RNAcentral
UACGAAGGGUGCAAGCGUUAAUCGGAAUUACUGGGCGUAAAGCGCGCGUAGGUGGUUCAGUAAGUUGGAAGUGAAAUCCCCGGGCUCAACCUGGGAACUGCUUUCAAAACUGCUGAGCUAGAGUACGGUAGAGGGUGGUGGAAUUUCCUGUGUAGCGGUGAAAUGCGUAGAUAUAGGAAGGAACACCAGUGGCGAAGGCGACCACCUGGACUGAUACUGACGCUCAGGUGCGAAAGCGUGGGGAGCAAACAGG